CCAGUACAGGAAUUACGUUUCCUCUUCGCCGGUCUCUAAGCUGAUAUUGGUGUGGUUUGUAUUUUUGUUGUUGAUGGAAAUGGAAGCCCUGUAGUCGAAGUAUAACUCUUUAUCUUUCCAUAGUCAGUCUAGCCAAUUAUUGAAUGUAUUUGUGUUGGGGGCGUUGUGUCGUUACCGACUGAAAAGUGUAAAAUUUAUCUCUCCCACUAAAGGGUAGCCGCGGUGCACUCUGGGAGACAUUACCAUGCGGCGGUAACUUGCAGCACUGAUCGAGGAAGACACACAGGAGGAUCCUAAGCGUCGCUGAAAUCCAUCUUGUCACGCUAAAUUACUGACAGUCAUGGCUUCAAAACCUGGCCCCUCCAGUAAUGGAACAAAACAUUCUAUUAAAACUAAGGUUCAACCAAAGUGUGAGAUCUACAAACAAAACAACCUCGUAUUAUUAUGUCAGGACUGUAAAAUGUUAAUCUGUACAAAGUGUUCUAUCAAUGGUCAUCAACAGCAUACAGACAGCGUACUGGAUAUAUCUGAAAUCAAAACACAGCAAAACCAAAUACUUCAGGAUGUCAUUAAUGAGACGGACAAUGUAAAUAUUCCAAAAUUAAACCAGGAAAUUAUAUCGUCUCGAACAAAAACGUCUUCAUGUAAACCUCCGUAUGAAAAACUUUGUAAAAACAUCAUGGACAAUAAUAACAAAUGUAAGUUACAGCUAGACAAACUUAUAGAGGAUUAUAUAUCAAUUUGUGAUAAGAUGGAGGUGGCGGACACGGACCUCAUCCAGACCCACAUCACACACCAGGAGCGGAUGCUGAAAACUUUGAGGGAACUCUCAUCAGAGUAUAAACAGACUCUCCACACAGGAACUGGUGUACUCGUGUAUGACUCUGUAUCAGAAAUCUGGGAAAUUGAUCCAGACAUCCUACUGAUACCUGAUAUAGAGACAUAGUUUACUCCGGGUAUGGACAGACUAAGUCACCUGAAACAGGCCAUUGGAACCUAAAACUUACUACUGACCAUCUCCAGACAGGAUCGGCAACUAGUGGUCACUCCGACCAAUUACCAGUAGUCGGACCAAACCAGUCUACAGAGGCUGGUCAAUUGUCCGCUGUAACAGCCGGGUACAAACUUUGUGACCGUCCCACCGUCAUGUCCCAGUUCUUCUACCCAAAUGACAUCGCAUCGAUCUGUCCUACAUCUGACGGACUUGCGUGGCUGUGUGAUAGGACCGACACAGUAAAUCACCAACAAAGGUCGGGUCAUACAGGCGAUAAAAUACAACAGUCAGGAACAUCAGUCUGGACCCCGCCACACAACAGUAUGAUCAGGAACAUCAGUCUGGACCCCGCCACACAACAGUACGAUCAGGAACAUCAGUCUGGACCCCGCCACACAACAGUACGAUCAGGAACAUCAGUCUGGACCCCGCCACACAACAGUACGAUCAGGAACAUCAGUGUGGACCCCGCCACACAACAGUACGAUCAGGAACAUCAGUCUGGACCCCGCCA
Molecule: long non-coding RNA, 1508 nt
Organism: Pecten maximus
Lineage: Eukaryota; Metazoa; Mollusca; Bivalvia; Pectinida; Pectinidae
Exons: 2
Source: RefSeq, a predicted model, not a curated record